RNAcentral lists this ribosomal RNA (566 nucleotides) under uncultured bacterium. RNAcentral's name for it is "bacterial SSU rRNA". It matches the Rfam family "Bacterial small subunit ribosomal RNA", at positions 279 to 842 of the family's 1533-position model. The record is from RNAcentral.
AUGCGUAGGGGUUCUGAGAGGAAGGUCCCCCACACUGGUACUGAGACACGGACCAGACUCCUACGGGAGGCAGCAGUGAGGAAUAUUGGUCAAUGGGAGAGAUCCUGAACCAGCCAAGCCGCGUGAGGGAAGACGGCCCUAUGGGUUGUAAACCUCUUUUGUCGGAGAACAAAACCCGGGACGAGUCCCGGACUGCGUGUAUCCGAAGAAAAAGCAUCGGCUAACUCCGUGCCAGCAGCCGCGGUAAUACGGAGGAUGCGAGCGUUAUCCGGAUUUAUUGGGUUUAAAGGGUGCGUAGGCGGUCUGUUAAGUCAGCGGUAAAAUUGCGGGGCUCAACCCCGUCGAGCCGUUGAAACUGGCAGACUUGAGUUGGCGAGAAGUACGCGGAAUGCGCGGUGUAGCGGUGAAAUGCAUAGAUAUCGCGCAGAACUCCGAUUGCGAAGGCAGCGUACCGGCGCCAGACUGACGCUGAGGCACGAAAGCGUGGGGAUCGAACAGGAUUAGAUACCCUGGUAGUCCACGCAGUAAACGAUGAAUGCUGGUUGUCCGGGUCGAAUGAGAUCUGG